UGGGUAGGGGAGCUUCCCAUACGGGUUGAAGCAUGACCGUAAGGACAUGUGGACAGUAUGGGAGUGAGAAUGUUGGCAUGAGUAGCGAGAUGUGGGUGAGAAUCCCACAGGCCGUAAACCCAAGGUUGCCAGGGGAAGGUUCGUCCGCCCUGGGUUAGUCGGGACCUAAGCUGAGGCCGAAAGGCGUAGGUGAUGGACAACAGGUUGAUAUUCCUGUACUACCGAUAACC
This 230-nucleotide ribosomal RNA is filed under the name Clostridioides difficile. Its description in RNAcentral is "partial 23S ribosomal RNA". It matches the Rfam family "Bacterial large subunit ribosomal RNA", at positions 1225 to 1455 of the family's 2925-position model. Lineage: Bacteria; Bacillati; Bacillota; Clostridia; Peptostreptococcales; Peptostreptococcaceae. The record is from RNAcentral.